GUGGGGAAUCUUGCACAAUGCGCGAAAGCGUGAUGCAGCAACGCCGCGUGAGGGAAGACGGCUUUCGGGUUGUAAACCUCUUUCAGUUGGGACGAAGCCUCGUCGGUUAAUAGCCGGCUGGGGUGACGGUACCUUCAGAAGAAGCCCCGGCUAACUACGUGCCAGCAGCCGCGGUAAUACGUAGGGGGCAAGCGUUGUCCGGAAUCAUUGGGCGUAAAGCGCGUGUAGGCGGUCCGGUAAGUCCGCUCUGAAAGUCGGGGGCUCAACCCUCGGAUGCGGGUGGAUACUGUCGGGCUAGAGUGCGGAAGAGGCGAGUGGAAUUCCUGGUGUAGCGGUGAAAUGCGCAGAUAUCAGGAGGAACACCAAUUGCGAAGGCAGCUCGCUGGGACGUUACUGACGCUGAGACGCGAAAGCGUGGGGAGCAAACAGG
Molecule: ribosomal RNA, 430 nt
Filed under: uncultured bacterium
Lineage: Bacteria
Description: bacterial SSU rRNA
Rfam family: Bacterial small subunit ribosomal RNA
Source: RNAcentral